GUCAACAGUGCCGGGACCCCCUCCCAGAGUAAGUAGUCAAACCGUUUAAGAACAGUUUGACAACUUACCUGAGGUCUGCUGGGAAAUGGGGCUGUAGUAGGGCAUAUGAGCAGUGGUGUGUGUGAGUGGUGCAAUGUGUAAGGGGUGCAGUGUGUGUGUGUGUGUGUGUGAGAGGGGGACAGUGUGUGAGCAGUGUGUGUGUGUGUGUGAAGGUUGUAGUAUGUGAGUGAGGGCGGCAGUGUAUGUCAGGGAUACAGUGUGUGUGUGAGUAUUGCAGUGUAUGUGUGAGUGUGGGCAGUGUGUGUGUAUGGGGGGC
Molecule: non-coding RNA, 316 nt
Organism: Pelobates cultripes (western spadefoot toad)
Lineage: Eukaryota; Metazoa; Chordata; Amphibia; Anura; Pelobatidae
Source: the annotation of a GenBank genome assembly